RNAcentral lists this ribosomal RNA (281 nucleotides) under uncultured Burkholderiales bacterium. RNAcentral's name for it is "partial 16S ribosomal RNA". It matches the Rfam family "Bacterial small subunit ribosomal RNA", at positions 505 to 785 of the family's 1533-position model. Lineage: Bacteria; Pseudomonadati; Pseudomonadota; Betaproteobacteria; Burkholderiales. The record is from RNAcentral.
GUGCCAGCAGCCGCGGUAAUACGUAGGGUGCGGGCGUUAAUCGGAAUUACUGGGCGUAAAGCGUGCGCAGGCGGCUUUGCAAGACAGAGGUGAAAUCCCCGGGCUCAACCUGGGAACUGCCUUUGUGACUGCAAGGCUAGAGUACGGCAGAGGGGGAUGGAAUUCCGCGUGUAGCAGUGAAAUGCGUAGAUAUGCGGAGGAACACCGAUGGCGAAGGCAAUCCCCUGGGCCUGUACUGACGCUCAUGCACGAAAGCGUGGGGAGCAAACAGGAUUAGAUAC